Molecule: RNA transcript, 3867 nt
Organism: Scylla paramamosain (green mud crab)
Lineage: Eukaryota; Metazoa; Arthropoda; Malacostraca; Decapoda; Portunidae
Exons: 3
Source: RefSeq, a predicted model, not a curated record
UUGAUGUGGUUAAACAAUUUAAGGAGAAUCAAAAACCUGUUAUUCCAAAACAGUUUAAGGUGAAGAGGAAUAACAUUACCUUUCAGAAAGGAGGUAGAGGUUCUGGAAACAAUAACUACCGAGGUAGUUAUCAAGAUAGAGGAGGCAGAGGAUGAGGUCACUAUGGUGCCAAAUAAGUUAUCUGAUGACAUUGGUUAUCAUUGUCAUUACUCAGUACCAAAUGUUAGGUUGGUAUCAAGACAUAAGUGAUUUAACCUUGAUUAACACCCCUCUGAAUUUUCGGGGGGGAAAAAUUCAGUUAUCUUCAACUUUAGAAAUAAUUAUCCAGUGAUCCUUGGCUAACUAACACUGUUCAGGGCAAGUAUUUGUUUUCUUUUCAUAAUUUUCCAUCACAAAGCCAUAUCACCCCCCUCCAUUACAUUUCUCUCAGAGGGAUAAAUGGGCUAUUGAUGCAGCCAUGGAUAUAUUUAUUCAGCAGCAUACUGUUGAGAGAGCUGCAGUUGUUUCAUCAGGGCUUUGCUCCAAUAUUUAUCCUAAGUUAAAGAAGGAUGGAAGUGUCUGGAUUAUACUUAAUUUAAAAUACUUGAAUGAGUACAGUAAAAUCCCUCUCAUCUGGCAUUCGAGUAUCCGGCAGCUUCAAGUAUCCAGCACAUUUUUCCCCGAGCCUUAAAAUCAAUAAAAAAUCAUUGUGUACUCGUAAAAUCGAAUAAAAUUCCUGUGCGAGGCAUACUUUGUCCCCUCGCCACCAGAGCGCACUGCUUCGCGCCACCCGCGGCCCACUGCACUGUGUUUACUCAGUGACUCAGUCCCGCGUGUUCACUGUUUAUCACCUGACAUCUUCAUCAUGCCUAAAGUUGUAGAAAAGAGGAAGCGUGUUGUGCUUACACUUAAGCAGCUGAUCAGAUCAGCUGAUCUUUGUUAUGAUAAGAUGCAUGAGUGUAGGGUGGUGAUUGUGGACAUAAUUUCACUUCUAUUCAAGUAUCCGGCAUGUCGGCGGUCCCGUUGAUGCCGGAUAAGGGAUUUUACUGUAUGUGGAAAAUAUAAGAUGGUAACAUUUUAAGAUGGAAACACUUAUAAAUGUUUUACCAUUGGUUACACAUAACUGUUUCUUUGCAUCCAUUGACUUGAAACAUGUUUAUUUUUUUUGUUCCAGUUUGCAGGGAGGAUCGAUCAUGGUUAAGAUUUAUAUGGAAUGGUUUAUUAUGGCAGUUUACUUGCUUGCCUCAAGGUUUUUCUUCAUCUCCUUGACUUUUCACUAAGUUGUUGAAGGUCCCUUUUUCACAUUUUUGGGCUUUAGGCAUCUUAACAAGCAUUUACAUUGAUGAUUGCCUUGUGAUGGCUGGAUCCAAAGAGAAAUUAAUUGAUAAUGUCAAAUAUAUUGCAUCAACAUUAGAUCAAUUAGGUUUCACAAUUAAUUUGGAGAAGUCAGAAUUUCAGCCCAGUCAUGAAAUAGAAUUCUUGGGCUUUGUGUUGAACUCUACAGACAUGACAGUUAAACUCACACAAGGCAAGGCUGACCUUACAAUUAUUACAAACAGAUGACAUUAGAAUUAGAGAUCUUGCUGUUUUCAUUGGCAAUGUGGUUUCUGCAGGAGACUUUGUACACUGGGCUCCCUUAAAAUAUAAGUAUUUAGAAGUGUUAAGGAAAGAAGCUCUUAAGCAAAGUUGUGGUGAUUUUGAUGCCUUACUGUGUCUAGAUAAGAGGGCCAAAUGUCUCAUAAACUGGUGGACAACUAACAUUCAUUCUUGUAUCAGAUCGUUACAUACACCAGCCCCAGAUUUAAUCAUCACCACAGAUGUCUCAAUGUCUGGCUCGGGGGCUUGUGCCAGUGAUGACAUUACUGGUGACCACUGGGCUGAGUAUGAGAAAGACCAUAUAAAUAUUUUUGAAUUAAGGGCUGUUCUUUAUGGUCAGAAUGCUCUCUUCCCUGAUGUCAGAAGUAAACACAUUCGCAUAAAAUCAGAUAAUGCUGCAGUUGUUGCAAGCAUUAAUAAUUGUGGAAGUAUUAAGCAGCACUUGUUGGAUGUGACUGAGGAGGUUUUUGAGUGGACUUAUGAGAGGGACAUACACUUAUCAGCUGAGUAUAUCCUAAGUUCUCUGAAUAUUACCACUGAUUUAGCCUCUAGUGAGAGAGAUUUCAACAAGGAAUGGAAACUAAUGCCUACAAUUUUCAGUUACAUUUGCAGAAUUUAUGGUGAACCAACUAUUGAUCUUUUUGCUACUCACAUUAAUGCUUAGCUAUCAUUUUUCUAUUCUUGGGAACCUGAUCCUAAGGCAUUACUCACAGAUGCUUUUUCAGUCCAUUGGAAUAAUGAUUCUUUUCUAUAUGCUUUUCCUCCCUUUAGGGUCAUUGAAGACAUCAUUUAGAAAUUAAGGGAUGAAAAAGGCAUCAAUUUUAGCAAUACUGCCAAUAUGGAGAAGUCACCCAUGGUUUGCAGAGGUUCUUAGGCUUUUGCAGGAUGCACCUCGACUUCUUCCUCACAAGUGCCUGUAUCUGCCUCAGGAUCCACAACGGAUCGAUCCUGUCAGGAAUCUGCAAUUAGCAGUAUGGCCUCUGUCAGGGAAUCUUUCCGCAGAUGAAAUCUGGAUACUGAUAACACCAGACUGUCAGUCACGCAUGACCACACAAAGCUGGGCAGCACAGCUUAGGAAGAACUCCGAUCAUUGCACACUUACCAAGGAGGCAGAGGUUGGAGAAGCAGCUGCAGAUCGCAGAGCCAGGACCCAAAACAUGAUUCUUGCCAGUGAUAAAAGUAUGAGCGCAUACACAGGUCUUCCUUGUAGAAAUGCUUUGACAGCCAUCUAUGAUGUCAUUAACAAAAAGAGUAAAAAAAAUUGAGUACUGGAAAGGACCAAGGCAUUUCCAAAAGAAAAUGACCAAGAAAGGUUUAGGUGGCAGUAAAAAUGUUAUGGAUAAUUUUGAUGAGUACCUGCUGACUUUAGUAUGUUUGUGUCAAGGCUUAACAACAUGGCUUUUAGCAGAAUUGUUUGGAAUCUCUCAGUCAUGUCACUUGCAUCACCAACACUUGGAUAAAUGUAUUGUAUGAGAUAUUGCAACACUGGCCAUUAUAGCUCAGCAAUUAAGAAACAGCUUACUUGCAUGGUAUCCUGCUAGAUAUGCAGAUAUCAGGGUGAUCUUGGACUGUACUGAGUUUUUUAUUGAUAAGCCAAGAAACUGUACUGCUCAGGCCAAGACAUAUACACUAAACAAGCAUCACAACACUGCAAAAGUUUUGGUAGGCAUAACACCAACUGGAAUUAUUACUUUUAUUUCACAUGCAUAAGGAGGUAAUGCUUCUGACAGGCACAUAGCAGAAGCAGAACUUCUAGAUAAAAUUGACCCAGGAAAUGCUGUAAUGGUGGAUAGAGGCUUCAAUAUUGGAGACCUAUUGCUGCAAUGUGGUGCAAAAUUGUGCAUACCACCCUUGACUAGGAAGAAAGCUGAUGGUAAAAGAAGAGCAUUAAACACUAAUGAAAUUGUGAAAACACGAGAGAUUGCUUCACUGAGGGUACAUGUAGAACAUGCCAUUGAGAGAAUAAAAAAAUUCAAAAUAUUGACUGGACAAUUAAGGACACCCACCAUAUUUUUUUGAAAUUGCAGCAGUUAUAAGGGGAAUAUAGCUCAGAUAUGGGUUUAUAACUGCCAGUAUUAUAAGGUUUCAAAGUACUGGGUGUCUGCCUUCCUACACCUGUGCUGUAAAAAUUAAUAUGAAAGAAAAUUAGUACAAUAUUGGUGGUACCUUGAACUGCAGUCUUCAUAUGAACUACUAGCACCACUGUAUAGAGAUACAGAGUACAUACUGAAUGUUCUCUUUCUUGCAACCAAGCUGAAAAAUCAUAAGAAAAAAAAUAAAAAAUAAAAUAAU